GGCCACUCUAAUUCAGAGGUGCCCUAAUCCAGGCAGGUUUUGAAGGCCCUCAUUCAUUCAGAGGUGCCCUAAUCCAGGCAGGUUUUGAAGGGCCUCAUUCAUUCAGAGGUGCCCUAAUCCAGGCAGGUUUUGAAGGCCCUCACUAAUUCAGAGGUGCCCUAAUCCAGGCAGGUUUUCAAGGGCCUCACUAAUUCAGAGGUGCCCUAAUCCAGGCAGGUUUUGAAUUCUGCAUCAGCAUUCCCUUGGAGCUAGGAUCAAAAUGAGAUAAAAUAAAAAUUAAUGAGUAUAAAAAGGCAUGAGCACAUGUGGGGUGCAGGCACAGUUCCCACAACUCUUCUGCAGUUACUGGGGUCUACCCUGGCAGGUUUUGAAGGACCUCAUUCAUUCAGAGGUGCCCUAAUCCAGGCAGGUUUUGAAGGGCCUCACUAAUUCAGAGGUGCCCUAAUCCAGGCAGGUUUUGAAAGGCCUCAUUCAUUCAGAGGUGCCUUAAUCCAGGCAGGUUUUGAAGGGCCUCAUUCAUUCAGAGGUGCCUUAAUUAGGCAGGUUUUGAAGGGCCUCAUUCAUUCAGAGGUGCCCUAAUCCAGGCAGGUUUUGA
This is a non-coding RNA of Agelaius phoeniceus (red-winged blackbird), 595 nucleotides long. The record is from RefSeq and is a predicted model, not a curated record. Lineage: Eukaryota; Metazoa; Chordata; Aves; Passeriformes; Icteridae.